UACGUAGGGUGCGAGCGUUAAUCGGAUUUACUGGGCGUAAAGCGUGCGCAGGCGGCUCGUUAAGACAGGUGUGAAAUCCCUGGGCUCAACCUAGGAAUUGCGCUUGUGACUGUCGAGCUCGAGUACGGUAGAGGGGGGUGGAAUUCCUGGUGUAGCAGUGAAAUGCGUAGAGAUCAGGAGGAACACCGAUGGCGAAGGCAGCCCCCUGGGCCUGAACUGACGCUUAGGCGCGAAAGCGUAGGGAGCAAACA
Molecule: ribosomal RNA, 251 nt
Filed under: uncultured Hydrogenophilus sp.
Lineage: Bacteria; Pseudomonadati; Pseudomonadota; Hydrogenophilia; Hydrogenophilales; Hydrogenophilaceae
Description: partial 16S ribosomal RNA
Rfam family: Bacterial small subunit ribosomal RNA
Source: RNAcentral